UACAGCGGCCACAGCGGUGGGGAUCCUCCCGUACCCAUCCCGAACACGGAAGAUAAGCCCGCCUGCGUGUCGGUGAGUACUGGAGUGGGAGACCCUCUGGGAAAAGCGACUCGCCGCUUCUA
RNAcentral lists this ribosomal RNA (122 nucleotides) under Natronolimnohabitans sp. A-GB9. Lineage: Archaea; Methanobacteriati; Methanobacteriota; Halobacteria; Halobacteriales; Natrialbaceae. The record is from RNAcentral.